AUUGAACGCUGGCGGCAUGCCUUACACAUGCAAGUCGAACGGUAACAGGUCUUCGGCUGCUGACUAGUGGUGAACGGGUGAGUAAUAAAUCGGAAUGUGCCCGAUCGUGCGGGAUCGCGAGGCGUAACGUUUGUCAAUUUACCAUACGACCUAAGGCUGAAAGCGGGUGCUCUCAGGACCUCGCGCGGCCGUAGCGGCCGAUGGCAGAUUAGGUAGUUGGUGGGAGAAAAGCUGAUCAAGCCGACGAUCUGUAGCUGGUCUGAGAGGGUGAUCAGCCACACUGGUACUGAGACACGGCCCAGACUCCUACGGGAGGCAGCAGUGGGGAAUAUUGGACAAUGGGCGAAAGCCUGAUCCAGCCAUGCCGCGUGCAGGAUGAAGGCCUUCGGGUUGUAAACUGCUUUUGUAGGGAACGAAAAGCCUCUUCCUAAUAAAGAGCGGUCAUGACGGUACCGUAAGAAUAAGCACCGGCUAACUACGUG
RNAcentral lists this ribosomal RNA (482 nucleotides) under uncultured bacterium. RNAcentral describes it as "partial 16S ribosomal RNA". It matches the Rfam family "Bacterial small subunit ribosomal RNA", at positions 30 to 507 of the family's 1533-position model. The record is from RNAcentral.